GACAGAGGGUGCAAACGUUGUUCGGAAUCACUGGGCUUAAAGCGUGUGUAGGCGGAUCGUUAAGUGUCUUGUGAAAUCCCACGGCUCACCCGUGGAACUGCUGGGCAUACUGGCGAUCUUGGGCCAACUAGGGGCAACUGGAACAAGCGGUGGAGCGGUGAAAUGCGUAGAUAUCGCUUGGAACGCCAAAGGUGAAAACAGGUUGCUGGGGUUGUGCCGACGCUGAGACACGAAAGCCAGGGGAGCAAACGGG
RNAcentral lists this ribosomal RNA (253 nucleotides) under uncultured bacterium. RNAcentral's name for it is "partial 16S ribosomal RNA". It matches the Rfam family "Bacterial small subunit ribosomal RNA", at positions 524 to 776 of the family's 1533-position model. The record is from RNAcentral.